Molecule: ribosomal RNA, 404 nt
Filed under: uncultured bacterium
Lineage: Bacteria
Description: bacterial SSU rRNA
Rfam family: Bacterial small subunit ribosomal RNA
Source: RNAcentral
UGGGGAAUAUUGCACAAUGGAGGAAACUCUGAUGCAGCGAUGCCGCGUGAGGGAAGAAGGUUUUCGGAUUGUAAACCUCUGUCUUCAGGGACGAUAAUGACGGUACCUGAGGAGGAAGCUCCGGCUAACUACGUGCCAGCAGCCGCGGUAAUACGUAGGGAGCAAGCGUUGUCCGGAAUUACUGGGUGUAAAGGGAGUGUAGGCGGGAUGGUAAGUUAGGUGUGAAAUCUAUGGGCUCAACCCAUAAAUUGCACUUAAAACUGCUGUUCUUGAGUGAAGUAGAGGUUAGCGGAAUUCCUAGUGUAGCGGUGAAAUGCGUAGAUAUUAGGAGGAACAUCAGUGGCGAAGGCGGCUAACUGGGCUUUUACUGACGCUGAGGCUCGAAAGCGUGGGGAGCAAACAGG